GACGAACGCUGGCGGCGUGCUUAACACAUGCGAGUCGAACGGAAAGGCCCUUCGGGGUACUCGAGUGGCGAAAGGGUGAGUAACACGUGGGUGAUCUGCCCUACACUUUGGGAUAAGCCUGGGAAACUGGGUCUAAUACCGAAUAGGACCACGCGCUUCAUGGUGUGUGGUGGAAAGCUUUUGCGGUGUGGGAUGGGCCCGCGGCCUAUCAGCUUGUUGGUGGGGUCAGGGCCUACCAAGGCGACGACGGGUAGCCGGCCUGAGAGGGUGACCGGCCACACUGGGACUGAGAUACGGCCCAGACUCCUACGGGAGGCAGCAGUGGGGAAUAUUGCACAAUGGGCGCAAGCCUGAUGCAGCGACGCCGCGUGAGGGAUGACGGCCUUCGGGUUGUAAACCUCUUUCAAUAGGGACGAAGCGCAAGUGACGGUACCUAUAGAAGAAGCACCGGCCAACUACGUG
RNAcentral lists this ribosomal RNA (462 nucleotides) under uncultured bacterium. Its description in RNAcentral is "partial 16S ribosomal RNA". It matches the Rfam family "Bacterial small subunit ribosomal RNA", at positions 28 to 507 of the family's 1533-position model. The record is from RNAcentral.